CCUACGGGUGGCAGCAGUGAGGAAUAUUGGUCAAUGGGCGCGAGCCUGAACCAGCCAAGUAGCGUGAAGGAUGACGGCCCUACGGGUUGUAAACUUCUUUUAUAAGGGAAUAAAGUGAGGCACGUGUGCCCUUUUGUAUGUACUUUACGAAUAAGGAUCGGCUAACUCCGUUCCAGCAGCCGCGGUAAUACGGAGGAUCCGAGCGUUAUCCGGAUUUAUUGGGUUUAAAGGGAGCGUAGAUGGGUUGUUAAGUCAGUGGUGAAAGUUUGGGGCUCAACCCUAGAAUUGCAUUUGAUACUGGCAGCCUUGAGUACAGUAGAGGGAGGCGGAAUUCGUGGUGUAGCGGUGAAAUGCGUAGAUAUCACGAAGAACUCCGAUUGCGAAGGCAGCUUCCUAGACUGCCACUGACGUUGAUGCGCGAAAGUGUGGGUAUCAAACAGGAUUAGAUACCCCGGUAGUC
Molecule: ribosomal RNA, 460 nt
Filed under: uncultured bacterium
Lineage: Bacteria
Description: partial 16S ribosomal RNA
Rfam family: Bacterial small subunit ribosomal RNA
Source: RNAcentral